AUUGAACGCUGGCGGCAGGCCUAACACAUGCAAGUCGAACGGUAGCACAGAGAGCUUGCUCUCGGGUGACGAGUGGCGGACGGGUGAGUAACGUCUGGGAAACUGCCCGAUGGAGGGGGAUAACUACUGGAAACGGUAGCCAGUACCGCAUAACGUCGCAAGACCAAAGUGGAGGACCUUCGGGCCUCACACCAUCGGAUGUGCCCAGAUGGGAUUAGCUAGUAGGUGGGGUAAUGGCUCACCUAGGCGACGAUCCCUAGCUGGUCUGAGAGGAUGACCAGCCACACUGGAACUGAGACACGGUCCAGACUCCUACGGGAGGCAGCAGUGGGGAAUAUUGCACAAUGGGCGCAAGCCUGAUGCAGCCAUGCCGCGUGUAUGAAGAAGGCCUUCGGGUUGUAAAGUACUUUCAGCGGGGAGGAAGGCGGUGAAGUUAACAGCUUCACCGAUUGACGUUACCCGCAGAAGAAGCACCGGCUAACUCCGUGCCAGCCGCCGCCGUAA
Molecule: ribosomal RNA, 504 nt
Filed under: uncultured bacterium
Lineage: Bacteria
Description: partial 16S ribosomal RNA
Rfam family: Bacterial small subunit ribosomal RNA
Source: RNAcentral